Molecule: long non-coding RNA, 744 nt
Organism: Acinonyx jubatus (cheetah)
Lineage: Eukaryota; Metazoa; Chordata; Mammalia; Carnivora; Felidae
Exons: 3
Source: RefSeq, a predicted model, not a curated record
UACUGGAAAACAGAGAAUGUUGGCUGAAAGUACUUCAGGGUGGGCCAAGCCUCCCUUCUUCAGUAUAGUUUCAAGCCAUGACAUCAUAAUAGAUAGGGCAGCUGACCACUUCAAAGUGAAGGCUCUUCAAUUUCCAAAUCUCCACCUCUACCUAUUCAGGAUGAGGUAUGAUGAUGCUGAAGAGGAGUGAGGUCAUCUCUACUCGUCAGAAAAGCAGGCCCCGACUUCACCGCUAUCCCGUGAGAAGGCAGGCGUCACUGGGCAGGCAUCACAGGGAGAGACCACACUCUGCACCUUCCUCAACCCCCUGGUAUCUGUUACUAAAGUCCUGAGAUGAUGGGGUCAUCGUCACCUGUUUCAUGGCUUUUGGUACAAACAAGGCUGCUCCUGACCUGUUUCUGUCUUGACCUGGGACCAAGAUGACUCCUGAUCUCCAGAGUCUCCCACACACAUAGCAUAAGCCCCAAAGAGAAAUGCGGAUUAAAUCUACCAGGGGGACCCUGUUUCAGCUGUCAGGGUAGCCAAGAUGAAAACACUUGAUAUCACACUGUGGUUGGCAUCAAACCAACUUUGUAUCUCAUGGUCAGAGCAUUACCUAGCACAAUGUUUUAAAAGAAAGUUUGGCAUCAUAUAUCAAAAUUAUAAAUGCACACACUGUCUCAUUCUAUAACCCCAAUUCCGGAAACGUAUCAGGCAGAUACACUUGCAUUCCUACAGAGCUCUCUAUUGUACAAAGAUGUCCAC